UACGUAGGCAGCAAGCGUUGUUCGGAAUUAUUGGGCGUAAAGAGUGCGUAGGCGGUGUUCCAAGUCUGUCGUGAAAUCUCCCGGCUCAACUGGGAGGGUGCGGCGGAAACUGGAAUGCUAGAGGGUGGGAGAGGUAAGCGGAAUUCCUGGUGUAGCGGUGAAAUGCGUAGAUAUCAGGAGGAACACCGGUGGCGAAGGCGCACAUCUGGCCCGAUACUGACGCUGAGGCGCGAAAGCUAGGGG
RNAcentral lists this ribosomal RNA (243 nucleotides) under uncultured prokaryote. RNAcentral's name for it is "partial 16S ribosomal RNA". It matches the Rfam family "Bacterial small subunit ribosomal RNA", at positions 524 to 766 of the family's 1533-position model. The record is from RNAcentral.